GGCCAACCGCUCRGUUAAAACGGGAGGCCAAUAUCCGCUCCCAGCCAAGCAUCCCAAAGGAAAUGUUGGGGGAGCGACGCGAUGCGUGACGCCCAGGCAGACGUGCCCUCGGCCGAAUGGCUUCGGGCGCAACUUGCGUUCAAAAACUCGAUGGUUCACGGGAUUCUGCAAUUCACACC
RNAcentral lists this ribosomal RNA (179 nucleotides) under Conyza sumatrensis. RNAcentral describes it as "5.8S rRNA". The record is from RNAcentral. Lineage: Eukaryota; Viridiplantae; Streptophyta; Magnoliopsida; Asterales; Asteraceae.